CCGGCGCACGGGUGCGUAACGCGUAUGCAAUCUACCUUUUGCAGAGGGAUAGCCCAGAGAAAUUUGGAUUAAUACCUCAUAGUAUAUAGAGUUGGCAUCAACACUAUAUUAAAGUCACAACGGCAAAAGAUGAGCAUGCGUCCCAUUAGCUAGUUGGUAAGGUAACGGCUUACCAAGGCUACGAUGGGUAGGGGUCCUGAGAGGGAGAUCCCCCACACUGGUACUGAGACACGGACCAGACUCCUACGGGAGGCAGCAGUGAGGAAUAUUGGACAAUGGGCGCAAGCCUGAUCCAGCCAUGCCGCGUGCAGGAUGACGGUCCUAUGGAUUGUAAACUGCUUUUGCACAGGAAGAAACAACGCUACGUGUAGCGUCUUGACGGUACUGUGAGAAUAAGGAUCGGCUAACUCCGUGCCAGCAGCCGCGGUAAUACGGAGGAUCCAAGCGUUAUCCGGAAUCAUUGGGUUUAAAGGGUCCGUAGGCGGUUUAGUAAGUCAGUGGUGAAAGCCCAUCGCUCAACGGUGGAACGGCCAUUGAUACUGCUAGACUUGAAUUAUUAGGAAGUAACUAGAAUAUGUAGUGUAGCGGUGAAAUGCUUAGAGAUUACAUGGAAUACCAAUUGCGAAGGCAGGUUACUACUAAUGGAUUGACGCUGAUGGACGAAAGCGUGGGUAGCGAACAGGAUUAGAUACCCUGGUAGUCCACGCCGUAAACGAUGGAUACUAGCUGUUGGGAGCGAUCUCAGUGGCUAAGCGAAAGUGA
This 762-nucleotide ribosomal RNA is filed under the name uncultured bacterium. Its description in RNAcentral is "bacterial SSU rRNA". It matches the Rfam family "Bacterial small subunit ribosomal RNA", at positions 95 to 860 of the family's 1533-position model. The record is from RNAcentral.